UAAACGAUACUCCACGAAAAUCUUACCUAUUAAAUAAGUUUGUAUACCGUUAUUAUUAGAUAACUUUGAAAAAAUUAGUUAUUGUGGUUAAAURGGCUAAGUAAAUUAAAUCAAGGUGCAGUUUAUGAAUAGGAGAAAAUGGGUUACAAUAAAAAUAAUUUAAAUGAAUUUGUCUAUGAAGUUAGAUAAUGAAGGUGGAUUUAAUUGUAAUAUUAAUAAUUAUAAUAAUUUGAUAUAGGCUCUAGAAUAUGUACAUAUCGCCCGUCGCUCGCGGGAAAA
RNAcentral lists this ribosomal RNA (279 nucleotides) under Agaricochirus alexandri. Its description in RNAcentral is "partial 12S ribosomal RNA". The record is from RNAcentral. Lineage: Eukaryota; Metazoa; Arthropoda; Malacostraca; Decapoda; Paguridae.